This 299-nucleotide long non-coding RNA is filed under the name Glycine max (soybean). RNAcentral describes it as "long non-coding RNA (GMAX_LNC001798)". Lineage: Eukaryota; Viridiplantae; Streptophyta; Magnoliopsida; Fabales; Fabaceae. The record is from RNAcentral.
GAUGAUUGAAAUGUCAUCUACUUCCAAAUACUUGAAGGAAGGGUGUGUUGUGGUAUUUGGUUAUUGGAAUAGUUUGUCUUUUGAACUUUCGAGAUUCACUCAAUGGGAUGCACUAAGUAAUUGAAAUGAUUUCACUCAAUUAAGUUUAAUCUAUACAUAUGCAUAUAUAUUUUUUCCUUAACUUAUUGUACUUACCAAAAUCUGGAGCUGGUACACGUCAAGGUGGACGUGGUCAAAGUAGGCUCUUGGACUUUACACUUCAGCUUUGAGAGAGGUCUUUGUUUAGAGGACAAGAGGGA